AGAGUGGAGAGCUGAGUCACGAGAUAGAGAGGGAGGGAGAGAGAGAGAGAGAGAGAGAGAUUCCUGAUGACAACAUUUAGACUCCUCGAUCCAGCCAUGCCUGAAGUCCUUACUGUGGACUUUCCAUUUAUGGAACCCAAUAAAUUCCCUUUGGUGUCAGUUUCUAUCCCUUGCAACCAAAAGCCAUCUUAAUGAUACGAUGCUCUACGGCUAUUUGGGUCACAACGAGGAUUAAAUGAGCUGACGAUAUAUAUGGAAUGCACGGCUCAUGGGGGCCCGUGAAAGGCAAGCUCCCAGGUAUCUCUCUUCUCCUCCCCUCUAGUGGAUAUAGCUCCGACCUAAAACCUACUAAAAGCAUUAAACCCGUUGAGAACAGGCAUGGAUGGGUUUGUCUGGUUGUGGAACAAUGAAUGCGCAAAAGCAAAACUUCACACUGCCGCCUGCACGCUCGACACCCCGUGUUCUUAAUUUAAAUUCUGAAAAGGCGACAGAGAAGCCACGGCUGUAAAUAACCGCGUGAAAUGAUGCAAAAACAAUCUCAAGAGACACCCUUUGUGUUUUCCCUGCGAGAGGACAGCCGUGGGGCAGUGCGGAGACAUGGAAAUCUGUAAAGACGGUCUUCUCCAUCUGCUCAGGAUUAAAAAGAAGUUCGCAAGUCUGCGGUGGCCAUGCCGGGCCCCUCCAGAUGCUUCCAGCUGGAGCCCCAUGAACAGGCCCUGCGGCCUGGCCCACCGAGCGCACUCAGGCUGCGGCCUGGUUGCCAGAAGCGCCUCCCCCAGCCAAGCCCCCCACUGCUUGGCUUUCCGUGCCCCUCCCGCCCUGCCUGCCACCAACGGCUUUGAACCAGCAGGUCAAGGACCAGAGCCAACCCACAGAUGCGUUUUGUUUUGUUCUCUUUUAUUUUGUGUUGUUUCUUUGGAGCUGGCCAUCAAAGCUCCGGAGGUUUCGCAGGGAACUGUGGAUACCGGUUUGUCUUGACAAGGUGGGAAGGUCUUGCAGUCCUGAGCCUGCCGUCCUCGUCCUCCCCGCUCCACCCCAGUGGGGGCUGCAGCUUAGCAGCGUUUGGGCCCUCACCCGAGUUUCCGUGGCCCCCAAAGCAGGCUCUGACACCGGGACCUGGGUGCAAGUAGUUUAUUAGGGAGAGGAUCCCAGGAGGUGAUGAUGGGGGUGGGGAGGAGAGGGCAGUGACUGCGUCUCUGGGAUACUGCUGGGUGCCUCUGGGACAAGGCGCAGAGCAGGCCUCAGCGUCCUGCUACCGGAGGGGCCGGGGAACUGGGCUGUUGCCCUGCAGCUCCUGUCUGUCACUGGUUGGGGCUGGAUCCGGGGUAUUAACCCCCUGGCACUGCCCAUCUGCCCAAGAGAAAAACCUCAGGUGGAAAGUCACAGAUGGAGAGUCACCCUACACAGAUGGAGAGUCACCCUACACGCUGUUGACAUGUCCCAGAAAGGGCU
This 1452-nucleotide long non-coding RNA is filed under the name Canis lupus familiaris (dog). Its description in RNAcentral is "lncRNA (ENSCAFG00845012669.1)". The record is from RNAcentral. Lineage: Eukaryota; Metazoa; Chordata; Mammalia; Carnivora; Canidae.